RNAcentral lists this small RNA (12072 nucleotides) under Rattus norvegicus (Norway rat). Its description in RNAcentral is "uncharacterized LOC102551474". The record is from RNAcentral. Lineage: Eukaryota; Metazoa; Chordata; Mammalia; Rodentia; Muridae.
ACGGAAAAAAAAACCAAGAUAUUAUUUUGCAAAAUACACAUGGCUCACUGUAUAUUCAACCAAGCCCCAAAGCGAAGCACAGACUACACACAGCUACACCAUCACCAUUCCCCAAACAGAACCAUCGGGAAGGUUUGAAAACAAUGACUUAUAAUGCUAACAAAGAGAAUGGAGUAAUUGAAGGAAUUAAUAGUUUUCACAAUCUCUUUUCCUAAUAUUUACACUUUAUAAUAGGCAGAUUUUAUCAUCAGAAAUCAUUUUCUUGCUUUGAUAAACGUGUACCAAAUACUAUUAGAAUACCCAAUGUUGCGACUUAACAUAUAUUACAGUUGCCAUGGAAACUACAAACUUUGCUUAAUGGAUAUUAUCAAAAUGGAAGUAAGUAUAUUAAUGAGCCUACACUGAUAUGAAUGGAAACUUGAAUGAAACCUAGAAAAAUAUACAGUAACAUCAGAGCCCUCUAGGCAGGUGGGGCUCUCGUUUCCUUCCUUUUCCUUUUCAGGGUUUUCCCUUUCUAAAAAUAAUUCAGGGUACAUUUUAAUUGGAAUAUCCACAAUACAUUUCCUAUGUAUUUUUUUUUAAAAACUCAUAGCAAUUAUAUAAAAAAUAAUUCACACAUCCUAAAUUAUAUCCUAGGUAUUUUUAUACAAUUACAUUUCUUUUUAAAGGUGAGGCUUAGGUGGGAAUCACAGGAUUUAACAAAUAAAAUAAAAAAGAAGAUAAAGAUAGCAGGUAUUAUAACUGUCCAAGAGAAAAUGAUGCCCACUCAUCCUCAACAAGAUAGAGAGGCUGGUGCCACACAGCACGGAGGCAGCAUAAGAAGGAAUGUCCUAUUUGACACAAAGUUCUUUAACCACGGCCUCAGUACAUUUUUUCUGAGUCCACGGCAAAUUCUACAAAGUCAGUGUCCUUUCCCACAACCACCCAAACCUACAGUCCAAACACAGCUAACCAUGGAACGAGGUAAUUACUUUUCUCAGCCUUUGGCUAUAAUCUAAUAAAGAAGCAGGACUAGGCACAGAAAUCUAAAAAGAAAAAGAAAAGUCAAUGCACAAGUAAAAUGGGCACUAGGUAAGAAUACCAGAUUUGGGGGGCAGGGGUGAGGGAGUCAGUGUGGAAGGUACCAGAAAGGGCUUCACAGAUGGACAAAAACACUACACAGACAGUGCAACCAGAAGACCAUCCAGGAGCCCAGCAGGAAGGAGAAACACAAGCUGCACUACACAUCUACCAGCUCUUGGAGACUCUAAAAUCACUCAUGUUCCAAAAAGAUAAAAGGAUGCAAAGAAGCCAGAUGUGGUUUGGAAGCAGGGUUCGUGGACAGUGUCCAUGAUGAAAACAAGGAGGCAGUCAGUACAGGCAGGCACAGAGAGAACGGGUUCUGGGAACCCUUGGCUGGAACAAGCAAGCUCUCACUAAUUCUCCCUCCAUCUGUCCCACGCAUGUGACUCAGCGUGUCUGUCCCUAGGACCACAGACAAUGGUCUACACAAAGCCGGAUUCUGGGCAGGGAACACUCCGAGUCUGAAAGAGGGUGUAUCAGCUAGCAGUGCUGGCACAGGCAACAGUAAGUACUUUUAGGAGGAAAAAAAAAAGGUACCCACAGAGCUUACUUAGUCCAGUCCACAGCUCCAAAGGACUGCACUGCAUCUUGUAAUGCUUUCCAGGAGGGUAAGGGGGACUCGUCCGCAGUUAACCGACAACUACAGAGAGCACUUUUCAGAGACGUGGGAUAAGAAGCAACAAGAUACCAUCCAUCUGUCUCGAAGCCCAUCCUAAUUCCACUGUCACCAGCCUAUGUCAGGAAUGAGGACAAGGCACAGGAUUGUGUUAGAAGCUCAAAUCUAUUAAUAGCUUAGAAACAGCUUUGUUUAAGUUUCACAGCCGUUGCAGGACCUAGAAUGAACAAAAUCCCACUCGUGAGAAAGUGAAAAACAGUGAGGAGAAUACUUCAUCGACUGACCAGCCUGGACGCCUGCAGGCACUGAGGCACUGGCACACACGGUGUGCACACGGACGGCAUGCUCGGGUGGUCCAGAAAACACAUUGGCAAAGGGAACUGCCAAACACCCAGGUGAGCUUUGAACUUAGAAGUGUGACGGAGUGCUGGAGAGAUGGCUCAGCUGUUAAAGGCAAACGGGGACAGGAGACAAACCACGAAGGGCUCAGACUGCCCUGCUAAAGCAGCUGGAGAGAGACUGGUGGGGGAAGGGGAGAGGCACAUGCGCAGCUCAGGAGGCUUCUGGGGUUACUUGAGGAAGACGUGAAAUAAUUCUACUCUAACCUGAAAGUCUGGAGAUACAACACCAAAUUCCGUCCAGGACGAAAGAAAGGGAAGAAAAGCCAGGAAACGCAGCGUGUCUGCACAGUAAACUGGAGGACACAUGCACCAAGCCUGAGAACGAGCAACGGUAAGGAGUGAGCUAUAAACCACAGAAGGCCGGGAAGACGAGAGCCACGGGAAAGGAAUAACUUGGAAAGCUGCGCUUGGAGCGAAGAGAUGGAACCCAGUGAGAGGAUUUACGUUUAAAGGCAGGUUAAAACCUCUACCUGGCUUUAAUGUCCUCACCAAGAAGAGGAGAAGGAAGAGAAAAUGAAAUUUACAAGGAGUUACUGUAUUUCACGGACUCCGAGGCUGUGUCCUCGUAACACCUCAAUUCAACAGCCAACGGAAGCAUCCAGAUGGUGGGUGACAAGUGGACUUCCCAUGGACUUAAAGUCUGACCCACAAGUGUUACUCUCUCUGAUCUCAACCGGAAAGACGGGACAUGGACAGUCAGUGAUGGGCUGAUGGCUGCUGGUCCAUCGGGUCCACAGCAGAAGGAACUCCACCUACUCACAAUGCAAGUAGUUUACCUUUGCAGGGAGCAGCACGCGGAGGAUCAGCAUUAAACAGGACCUGAUUCACACAAAAAAGGCGUCCCAUUAUUCCACAAACGUUGCUACAUAUUUACUCCCAGGAAAGGCCCUUUCCACUCAGAAAUCCACAGAACACAAAUUUUGAGUGCGGAUAACUUACAGACUACAGAAAGAGGGACAGGAGUACAACCAGUCAUUGCAAACCCACGUGGUGUGUGAUGAGGCUGAAACGGCUGUAGAAGCCGUGCAGAUCUGCGAGGAGGAAAGAGGGUGAGAGGAAGCACGAGGGAGGGGGAGGAGGGAGCCAAGGUGCAUUUUGAAACUGAGUAGGAAUUUUCCAGACAGAUGGGGAAGGGAGCACUCCGGGCAGAGGAAACCGCCCGCCUGAGAGCGCAGAGGCAUGAAAGAGUGUAUUUAAGGAACUGCAAAUAAUCAGACAGGGCUGAUUCUAGGGCGGAACUUCAAAGAGAUAGGUGCCAAGGAGACGCGGGGAUAAAGAGAUGGCUGUCCCGAGAAUUCAGGGGACCUUACACUUUGCUCCACAAGGCAGCGUGUAGUUACAAGGACGCCUCGCAGUAAGGCCCCGGUGUAACCAGCCGAUCACACUGAAGGCCAGAGGGAAAGGCUGGGGCACAGCAGUGCGGAUCCAGAGAUGAGCCCUUGCCAUUAAAUUGCCUCCUGCUGCCAUGGCAACUCUGCGGUAAGGCUUUUUUGGAGCAAGAGGUGGCAAACAGAUCCCAGGUCUGCUGGCUGCCUCCUGCAGGAUCUGGCUUCUCUCCUCUCUAAUCAAGCUCUGCGGCACUAAAGCUGAGAAGCUGGUGGCAAAGCCCCUCGGAUGCUUCCGCUUUAGUGAGUCCUGACACAUGUCUUCCCCAGAGGGGAAUAAAAAUGGAGUCUGAUCACUUGUCCAAUUAUUACCUGGAAUCAGUUUAUAAUGUAUAGCUCCUUUCUACAGAGUGUGUUGCCCUGAGUGAGUCACCAAAAGGAAAUACACAGCAGUGACGUAGGCCCUUCUGCUACUGCCAAAUAACAGUGUUGCAGGCCUUCUGCUGAUGCUAAAUGUAGGCUGCAGAGAGCCUGAGGAUCUGUUCCCCACACUCAGAAGAGUCCUGCCCAAAGAGACCUCUUACCUCCAUGUGGGGGUUGGGAAGGACUGCAGCAAGGCAAGUCCAGGCAUCGCACCAGGCUAGGAACCAAGUGUCCCAAGGAGGGCCAUCUUAUUUAGAACUAUGGGAAGAGCAUACCUGAAAUAGGCUAUCGAACCCAGCUAACUACAACACACCAUUAACUAGAACACGUUUGGCCCCCAACAUUCUGGAACAACAGAAUUAGGAGAGAUUGGCGGAGCACAGUGACUUGAGUGUAGACAGUGAUCUAGGAAGCUGUACGAUGGUUGCGACAGUCCCCCUCUGCCCAUAAGCACGUGCACUUCUACAGUUUCAGUAUCUGUCCCUGAAGAUUCCACGCCCAAGGGUGGGGAUGUAGCACUUGCUUAGUAUGUAUUCAAAGGUUCAAUACCCACUCAAGCAAAAAGCACUAAAAACAAAGACGAUAGAGCGCUCUUUGAGAUUCGUCACCAUGGCAGCCUUAGAAAGACAGAGCUUUAAGUGGUGACCAGAGGAUCAUGUCCUGCUGUCAUGAACAGACCAGGGGCAGCAUUAGGAGACACAGGGGCUGAGACUGGAAAGUGCUAAUCUAAGGUCAACCUAAACUAGGCUGUGAAACCCCGUCCCUCCAAUACGGAAGAGAGAGAGAGAGAGAGAGAGAGAGAGAGAGAGAGCAAGAGCGCGAGAGAGAGAGCGAGCGAGCACGCGAGAGCGCAUUUUAUUUGCUCCUCAACACUUCCAUUCAUUUAUCUGUUUUAUUAUCUAUCUCUACCACUAGAAAUCAACUCUGGAAGAGCAGAGCCAGUUGACUAUUUAAUCCAUUUCUAUAUCCUCAGUGCCUAAAUAAUUCCUGGAAUGAAAAAAGCAAUCCAUAAUCAUUUAUGGAAUCACUGAAAAGAUGGUGCUUUGUGUACAUUUUACCAGGUGAAGAUGAGGUGGAAAGGAAGUAGGGGAGAAGGUAUUUAAGGUCGAAAUAGUAUUCUUCAAGAUAAAAAUUUUAAACACGUUCUCUGCCAGAUACAGAGUUAAGUAAAGAAUAUAAUUAUAAAUAUGCCCGUCCUAGCCAGGCAGGCAUGCGGCUCAUGCUUCUAAUCCCAGCACUUGAGAGGCUGGGGCAGAAAGUCUGAAGUUCAAGGACAGCCUAGGUUAUCGACAGAAUUCAAAGCCAGCCAGAUGUUCAUGGCAAGAUCCUACCUCAGAAACCAAACCAAACCGACAAGAGGGAGUAGGUACACAGUCUCCCUUCCCUGUCUUCACGGCAUAGAGAGGAAGGAGCUGUGGGCAAUGUAAAUGCCUCACCUGGGAAAGGAGGCCAGUACAGGAAGAUCAGAUGAGUCUCAAGUGGCAUCCUAAGGGGAGGGACCUAGAGAGUAGAAAACUAAAGCAACCACACGAUGAGCAAGAGUCAUACCAGAGCAGGUACAGCCACAGAGAGGAGAACAUGGAAAAGGUUAGCAUGGUUGAUGGGGACUGCAGUGAAGGAUGCAGAGGUUGAAGGUUUCAGAGGCAGGACAGUGGAGUUCCUCCUCAAGAUGGAAAGCUGUUGGGAGCUCACCUGCCCUGAUGUGGAAAAUGAACAACAGGUGACGAACGGGCAGGCGGGAAGGAGCUGAAGGAUUUGUACCACGAAAUGACAGCUGAGGCUAGGCUAAGAAUGGAGAUGAAAGGAGGAUUUCACAGGUACUCAGGAGCGAGGAAGACCCUGCGAUGAUGUGAUAAGGAAGAGAAGAACAUCCCAGUCUAACCAGGAUGGCUGGGCCAUUACAGUUUGUAACCGUGUUCCACUAAGAACAAAACCAAACCAAACCAUGAGUCUUGGGCACUGUGGUCUAUGCUAAUAAUCCUAGCACUCAGGAGGGUAGAGAUUGGAGAAUGUUAGCCCCAAAACAGCUUAAGUUACACAGCAAGAUUGUCUCAGAAGACGCAGACAAAAGGGACAGUGCACUCUUAGAAAGCCCCAGUUUGGUGCCCUUAAUAUAUUAGUUACCAACAAAAACAUGCAAAUGGAGAAGCCAGAGAGAUCAAUUCCAGGUAGCUGCAGUGUCUGUUUCCUACUUACACAUGUACCAAAAAGAGAGAAAACAUGCUGGAGAACCCAGGAGCGGUUCCCAGCACCCACAGCACCCUUAACUCUAAUUCCAAGGGCUCUGAUGACCUCUUCCGACCUCCACCAACUACAUAGGCUCACCUGCACACAGGAAAUAAAUCUAAGCAAGAGAGAGGGUGAAUGUUAGAAUAAAUCCAACAUCCAUUGACUGUAUCUUGUGCAAAACUGAGAUAAGAAAAUAAAUAAAAGCACUUUAUAAAAAUGUUCAAUGAGAGCUACCAAAAAUAAUUUUUCUACUUAGCAAAGGUAACUGGAAGACUACCGAAGCCAAAUCUGCUCUCAAUACCAUGGUCAGAAGGAGAAAAUCUCAACUUUUCAAACAAUCACAACAAAAAAUACUAUUAGGUCAUGCAACAAUGACAAAGGAAUUUGUUUCUUCUUAGUGUGAAAACUUUAUUGAUACAUAAUUAACAGGCCAUAAAGUAAACCUGUACAAACUCUGCCUUUUCCUUUAAGAGUCACUAAGGGUCUCACUAAGUUGCCCUGGCUGGUCUCAAAUUCCUUGGCUCAGGGAUCCUCUUUCUUAGCUAAGCCUUCUCAGUGUUGUGACUGUCGGUAGGGCUAAGGACUGUGACUAUGAGGAGGCCUAGUGGCCUCCAUAUACUCCUACCGCAUGGGCGACCACAUAUUCCCCAGUGGUCAACCAGUUCAAUGUUUUUAAGUAUAUAUUACUGAAUUAUUUAUCAUGAAAAAUCUUACUCUGAAGUAUUUCCAUCCCUGAAGAAACUGCAUGUCUACGGUCAUUGCUCAGUUUUCUGAACUGCCCACCCUUCCUUAGCGUAAGUUCAAAGCUCAGCAUGUUACACUGUAUGCUUCGAUAUCUCAUUCCGAUUAUGCAUACAAAUCCACUGUGCCAUUUUUUUCCUUUGAGAGUUAUUAUCAAUUAUAUUGCUAUCAACAUCCAUAUGUAUGCCUCUGUGUGUACACAUGUCUUUAUUUCUUUUAGGCAGGUUCCAAGAAGUAGACUUGCUAGGUCAUAAAGUAACCAUGUUGGACAUUUUGAGAAAUAGUCCAUUUUUAACAGGGCGGCUAGUCCAUCUUCAACUCCUAUUAUAAUACACGGGUUUCCAAUUUCUCCAAAUCCUUAUGCAUAUCAUUACGGGUAUCAACUGAUGAACGGAUAACCAAAUUGUGGAAUAUCCAUACAACAAAAUAAUAUUAAAUGAUCACCUUUCUAGUUGAAGAGAAAGGAGUAAGUCUCUGGCUCUGCUUUGCAUUUCACUGAUGGCUAAUGGUGUUCAAUGUCUUUCACAAGCCUCUUUGUGCACACUGCCUUUCAGUUCCUUUGGACAGAUGUCCCUUGACACUCUUGCCCACAGAUUUCUAUCCAUUUGUACCAAGGACAAAAUAAUGAAGCACCAGAUAGUGUCACAAUACUAUGAAAAAAUAUUAUGAGAAAUAAAGUUAAAUCGUAAGGAUAAAAGACCAUUUAGGAGACAAUGUAGGAGCAAAAGAUCAGAGGCUGCAGGACAGAGGCAACAAGGAAACAAAGCAAAACGUGUGCACACUCGGAAGACAGGCUUGUUGCCAGAAUAGGGGGUUUCGACUCGGCUGAGUUGAUUUGAUAGGGAGAGCAAUUACAGAUGAUGAGAAGACCAAACGGAGAUGCUGUAGCUAUGGAAGAGUAAAUCCUGAAAGCAUUCACUGAGAAAAAUGUAAAUGCCUCCCAGGGCUAGAGUGAGAAUCAAUGGGGCAGGAUGUGGUAAAGAGCUUUGUAAGCAUCAUAUACAUGGGCUAAAAGCCUUCCCAUCUGGAUUGAAAUCGGAAGCACCAACAACUUCCAACCUCCUUCUAGAGAUGAUGGCGAUGAUGAAGACCACAAACAGCAGCUAACAUUUACAGUUCCAGGUACUGUGCUAAGUCUCUUACCUCACUCUCACAUUUACUCCUCCAAAACACCACUGUGUGUCCUUACUAUCAACAAGGCUCUUUGAGCCCAAAACUAUUGCUGCUAUUUUCUACAGUGCAAACUCUUCCUUAAUUCCUCUCCAGUGGAGCUGCCUGUGAAGAUACCCUCAACUGCAUGAACAAUUCAACUCAUCACAGAAAAAUGGAAAAUGCUCUUUCCAUUGUACUACUUUUAUCUUUUUUUAUUAGAGAAUCAAAAUUUUCAUAAUUGAACGUGCCAACCUGGGUGUGACUUAAUUUCUUUAUUGCUUCAACAAUGUACAAAUUAUCCCCUCUCUUCAAUGACAUACGAUAUUCAUUUCAAAAUAUUUAAUUCUUCUGGAAUUUAGUUUGUAUGGUAUGAGAUUAAAACAGGUCUUAAUGUGGUAUCUAUCAUAUUACCAUCUAGCCCAAUAUUUUUAAUUUAAUUUUUUUGUUGUUAAAUGAUUCUUGCUUUCACAUAACCUACUUCCCCUGAGUUUUAGUAUGUCACUUCCAUUCUGAUUCCAUGGCUGUAUGGACCUACGUUUAGACAGUUCUUAGAACAUACUCUUGGGACAUGAUAGUCUAGAGCAACAAGCCCUCCACCCUUUGCUUCCCUACAAAGAAUCUAACAAUGAAAACUAUAGAUACAGAUCGAUCUUUAUGAGAACUCCUCAGUCUCACGUCUUAUCUGGCCAGUACGACAAUUGCCAACAGGCUAUUGUUUUGCAGGGUGGAGAUGAGCUUGAGCCUUAGACCUGCAAGGUAAGUGAGUCACUCCUCCACCCCUCCAAGUGCCAACACUUAAAGCUCAGAGCUGGAAAGACGGCCUAGAAGUUAACAGUCCUUGUUCUUGAGGGAGACCUGAAUAUAAUCCCUGGCAUCACCAUGGCAGCUCACAAUCAACCAUAACUGCAGUUUUAGGGGAAUCUAACACUUUCUCUUGACGUCUGUGGGUACCAUGCACACUUGUGAUACAUAGACAUAUAUGUACUUAAAACACUUAUAUACAUAAAAUAAAUCUAAAAAUUCAUUUAAAAUAAAAAUCAGAAGAUUGGCAGGCCUUUCUCUUCUUGAGUGUUCUCCUCACUCUUCUUUAACCUGUCAACAGGUAUCUGGCCUCAGUUGAAAAAUGGGCUGACUUUUUCCGGGGAGAUGACUCAGAGUGGUUAAAGCCUUGCUGUAGAAAUGAGAGGAGCAGAGUUCAGAGCUCAGAUCCCCGGAAUCCAUGUGAACAGCUGGUGGGCAUGCUAGUUUACAGGUAGUUCCACCCUUCAAAGGCAGAUUCUUAGCGUACGUAAGCUAAUGACUCACUAUGUAAGUGAGCUCUGGGUUCAACCUGAGAACUUGUCUCAAAGACUGAGAUGAAAGAGGGCUGCCAGCACCCGCCUUGGAUGUCAUGUACAUGUGCACACACACACACCCCUACUCAAGAACAUGCCUAUACACACACGCUGCACACAUACACAUGAAGAGAAAAACAACCCUAGUGUCAAGGUCUUCUCUGCAUAUAUCUAUAUCUGAGCAAGAGCCACACAAAACCACUAUGUAUGGAGUUCAAAGUACCCAGUAUCUCCUAGGGUCUUUACGCCUAGUCUAUUUAUGUAACUACAAUGUUUGCCUGGUGGCUUUGGGGUUUUCAACCUCUAGUGAAACCCACAAGCCUCUCUUUCUGUUUUCAAAGUCAGAGAAUUCACAGCUCCUUUGAUAUUCAACUUCAGUAACUACACUUAGCCUAGACAUCUGGUCUACCCUCUCAAACACACCCACUGCAUGGCUCGAUCUCUUCCUUUCAGAUACCAGUCUACUGUUUUACAAUGUAUGCAUUUUCUUUUAAUACUCUGAAAUUACUUGUGAACAAGGAUAAUUUUUAAAAGCAUUCCUCAUUUGAGGAAAAUCUUAUCUGCUUUUUAUGAUUUAUACCAUCAACCAGGAUUAAGUCACCAUCCCAUUGGGGUCUUAAACUGGUACCGUAUUAAGUCUAUAAAUUAACUUUGGUUAUAUUGUUAUAUUUACUGCAUUAAGACUACCCACUAUGUGGAGAUUUGAUGUUUAUUAUUGUUCCAUUUUCCUUCUAUUAAAAUAUUAUAAUUCUCUGCACUUGGCGAUAUAUAAAUAUGCAUGUAUAUAUGAGGGUACAUGGACUUUACUGUAAAAAAUAAGUACUCUAUUUUUCAUUAUAUUUUCAGCAUAAUAAUAAAAUAAAUGACUGAAUCUGUUUAGGCAUAUGCUUUAUAACUUGCAAUUCAAGCGUUGAGGUUAGGGCACAUUUUGUUGCAGCCCCUAAACAGCAUUGUAGCCCCUUGUAUUACUUUUCUUUCUAUUGGCAUCCAUACAUUCCAGUUAUUCCCUAUGUGAUUUACUGCACCUAGUUAUUUAAAACAAUGGUAUACAAAGGCAGAAUCCUGUUUGUUUUAGGUAAAUUAUUUCUACCUCUAUAUAACCUUGGUAACUGCCCUUACCCAAGACUCCUUUUAUGCCUUCAAGUUUGAAUUUUCAACAAAAGAUGCCACUGAGGAAGACAAUUCUUUCUGAUAAAUCCUGCUGAGACACAUGAAUCUUUCUUUGGGGCAGGGGCAUCAAUUAUAUCUAUUUUUCACACCACCUAAAUUGUCUAAAAGUACUCACAAAGAUAAGGACUUAAUUAAAAGCUCUUAAAUAAAACAUAGAGAAAAAUCUUUGUGACUUUAGGGUUAAGUAAUAAGGUCUUAGAACAGAAAAUAGCACAAGCCCCUAAAAAAAUCAUCAAAAUUGAAAACCUUUUCUUACCAAAAGAUAUAAUUAGGAGAGCUGGGGAGAUGGCUCCAUGGGUAAAGUGCUUGCCACACAAGCCUGAAGAUCUGAGAUCAAUCAGAAGAACUAUGUUUUAAAUAGCUCAGUGUGGUUAGAAGAAAGAAAAAAAGAAAGAAGGAAAGAAGGAAAGAAGGAAGGAAGGAACCUUGUAAUCUCAACUCUAGUUUAAUGGUUCUAGCAAAAGUCCACAUUGAAAAAAGAAUUAGAAUAAGGAGGAGGAAGAGGAGAAGGAACAGGAAGCAUAAGAAGGAGGAGGAAGAAAAAAAAGGAAUGAAGGGAGGGAAGAAGGGAGGGAAAAAAAGAAGAGGAGGAGGAUCACUCAUAAGAAACACCAUCCAAGAUGGACCAGACCACUAACCCACACACACAGGACAUUGAGAAAAUAAAAAUUAGGGCACUGGAAAGAGCUAGCUCAGUGGUCAGUGGUUAAGAACCCUUGCUGCUCUUACAGAGGACCUGACUUUAAACUCCUAGCACUCAUACCUAAUUCAGCUACACGGGAUCUGACACUCUUUUCUGGUCUUCUUGGGCAUAUGAUUGAGAGCAUUUGUGUUUGUGUGUGUGUGUGUGUGUGUGUGUGUGUGUGUGCGCGCGCGCGCGCGUGUGUCCCCCAAAAAACAAAAGGGUCAAAUGUAGACUAUAGAAAAUAUCACCAAAAAUAUGUAACCAGAAAAGGUCAUCAGAUCAUAAAGGACUUCUAUUGAGAUUAUAAAUCAUUCUUGAAAUUCUUUUACCAAAACCAAAUCGCUAUAAAAUGUGUGAAAGGCUACUUCAUAAAAGACAGGUGAACUGUCAGUCACUGCUUUAAAAGAAGUUCAGCAUCGAUGGUCAUUAAGAGUAUGGGAACUCAGAACAAAUAAAGACUGAAAAAUGAAAUGUAGUUACAACCACAAGACAAUGUGGUACUAUUAUACACCCACCAGAACAUCUAAAAAUACACAACACAGAAUGCCACAAGGAGACACACCAAUUAGGACCCUCCCACUUUGGUAAGAGAGAUGCAAACGGCACAACUUGGAAACAGUGUGAACCACCCAAAUCCUAGCAUCCCCCUGAGAACACUGAAAUAUAGACGUGUCCUUGCAGAACUGUGUCCAGAAGCUUCCAGACCAGCAUGACUCGUGAUGGCAAGAGAGUAGUUUAUACCUUAAAAGAGCUGCAUAGGUAAAAUAUAAUACACUCACACAGUGAAAUGUUACCUAGCAAUUUUACAAGGAAUAAACUAGUGGCAUAUCUAUAAAACAUAAGUGCACGUUAAUAACAUUUUUUAUGCUGUGUUUAAAAAAGAAGUCAAACACAAUCCAGGUAUGGUGGCGCCUGUAUUAAGAAAAAAAAAAAA